UACGGAGGGUGCAAGCGUUAUCCGGAUUCACUGGGCUUAAAGGGUGCGUAGGCGGGCAGGUAAGUCCGUGGUGAAAUCUCUGAGCUUAACUCAGAAACUGCCAUGGAUACUAUUUGUCUUGAAUAUUGUGGAGGUGAGCGGAAUAUGUCAUGUAGCGGUGAAAUGCUUAGAUAUGACAUAGAACACCAAUUGCGAAGGCAGCUCACUACACAGUCAUUGACGCUGAUGCACGAAAGCGUGGGGAUCAAACAGG
This 253-nucleotide ribosomal RNA is filed under the name uncultured bacterium. RNAcentral's name for it is "partial 16S ribosomal RNA". It matches the Rfam family "Bacterial small subunit ribosomal RNA", at positions 524 to 776 of the family's 1533-position model. The record is from RNAcentral.